RNAcentral lists this ribosomal RNA (1179 nucleotides) under Triticum aestivum (bread wheat). RNAcentral's name for it is "partial small subunit ribosomal RNA". Lineage: Eukaryota; Viridiplantae; Streptophyta; Magnoliopsida; Poales; Poaceae. The record is from RNAcentral.
AUGAUUGCAGAAUUUGAUUUAGUAAUGCAAGACCACCUUAGACGUAUCCAGAACAAAGAAAUUCAUUACCAUUAUCUCAGUCAUAAAAUUCAGAACGAGUUGAUAUCUCUUUUGGCUGCUGACAUCACAUGUUCUAUUAUAAAGGUUGUUAAAGAGGCCAAGUAUUUCUCUGUUAUCCUAGAUUGUACCCCUGAUGUUAGUCAUCAAGAACAAAUGACUUUUUUAGUUCGUUGUGUUAAUUUGUCGGAUGGGAAAAUAAAAAUUGAGGAGUACUUUCUAGGGUUCUUGAAGGUGGAUGACACUUCUGGCUUAGGGAUUUUUAAAUUAUGUGAUGCUUCUGACACUGAACCUAAGGAUAAAAGCGACGCAAAAAAUUUAUUUGAUGCACUUGGUCGCUUUGAGUUUCUAGUUGGUAUGAUUAUCUGGCAUGAUAUUCUGUUUGCUGUAAAUAAAGUUAGCAAGAUGCUGCAAUCGUCAACCAUGUGUAUUGACUCUGCUUUGAAGCAAAUAAAAGGUAUAACAGAAUAUUUUGGGAAGUACAGAGAUGAUGGGUUCUCUUCAAGUGUGACCAUCGCCAAAGGUAUUGCGACUCAAAUGGGAAUUGAUCCCGUGUUUCCAAUGAAACGUCGUGGUAAGAGGAAGAGACAGUUUGGUGAAAGUGAUUGUCAAGAAGAAAUUCUAGAAGCUGAGAAGGCUUUUCGUGUUAAAUAUUUUUUUGUUUUGGUUGAUAUGGCGGUCACUUCUUUGAAGGAUAGAUUUAAAGAACUAAUGGUGUUCAAAGAUAUCUUUGGAUUUUUAUUGAGCUCGGGCACUCUGAAGUCAUUAAGUGAUAAUGAACUUGAAGAGUGUUGCACAAAAUUUGCUGAAACAUUCUCUCUUGAUGGUUCAUCUGAUGUAGAGGUAUAUGAUCUUAUUUCUGAAUUGAAGAUUAUGAGAUUCACUUUGCCAAAUGGCGUAAUGUCUGCCAUGGAGAUUUUUGGGCAUGUUAGAGAAGUUGAUUGUUAUCCGAAUAUCUCCAUUGCUUAUCGCAUCUUAUUUACUGUGCCUGUGACGGUCGCAUCGGCCGAGAGAAGCUUUUCAAAGCUGAAAUUGUUGAAGAAUUAUUUGAGGUCAACUAUGACUCAAGAGAGGUUAAAUGGUUUGGCUACAUUAUGCAUCCGAGAAGAAAUUAUUGGAUGA